UACGAAGGGGGCUAGCGUUGCUCGGAAUCACUGGGCGUAAAGGGUGCGUAGGCGGGUUUUUAAGUCAGGGGUGAAAUCCUGGAGCUCAACUCCAGAACUGCCUUUGAUACUGAAGAUCUUGAGUUCGGGAGAGGUGAGUGGAACCGCGAGUGUAGGGGUGAAAUUCGUAGAUAUUCGCAAGAACACCAGUGGCGAAGGCGGCUCACUGGCCCGAUACUGACGCUGAGGCACGAAAGCGUGGGGAGCAAACAGG
RNAcentral lists this ribosomal RNA (253 nucleotides) under uncultured bacterium. RNAcentral's name for it is "partial 16S ribosomal RNA". It matches the Rfam family "Bacterial small subunit ribosomal RNA", at positions 524 to 776 of the family's 1533-position model. The record is from RNAcentral.